Cyprinus carpio carpio is the source of this 3403-nucleotide long non-coding RNA. NCBI's taxonomy places the organism in Eukaryota, Metazoa, Chordata, Actinopteri, Cypriniformes, Cyprinidae. The record is from Ensembl.
AUGGAUAAAACACAGAGGUGCCACUUCAUGAUGGCACACAAAGGAAGAUAUUGCACAACCUGUUUAUUAACCGCCCGCUGUCAGAGGGCCAGUACACUUCAGCGAUCCGGGUCAUUCAUCAAUGCUACAUCCUGGCACAGUAACAAUAACAAUGCUGAAGAUGUGGAAUAUCACACACCAGACACAUCAAAAGCUUCAGUUUCCAUUGUUGUAAUUGCAAAGAAAAGAGUAACAAUUCCAUUCUUCCAAAUAUCUCCUUUUGUGUUCCACAGAAGAAAAACUCAACAUGAGGUACAGAGAACUGACAGACUGCAGCUUCCAAUGCCUUGAUGUUCUGUCUCGCCUCUGGCAUCACUGACCACAUAAUCAUUGGCUGGCACAACUGGAACAAGGCUUGAUUUUCAAAGGCUCUCAUGCCACUGAUUCGCUUUGCAUCAGUAAGACUGAUCACAGUGGUUUAUCAGAAACAACACGCGUUUCAUCCCACUUGGAUUCUGGGGAGGGAGAAGGUGGAAGCCAAAGCGGGUUGUGUCCUUACCUUUCCCCUCCCCAUAGAAGUGCCACACGCACCAGAGUGACACCAAGGGAGAAGGAUUUUGACAGCUCAAGUGUGUCAGCCCAUCAUGACCUGCCUGUGGCACUUUUGAUUAAAAGAGAAACAUUGAUAGUAUCAACUGUUGCCACAGAAAGAGCUAGAUAACCAUGGCCCAACAUUCAUAGGGUCUUCAACUCAAUUAAAUAUAUAUUUUUCUUAUCUGCCAACACUCCCUGUAAACUGUCAAUAUUUUAUAAUAUGUUUAUGUGGGUAAAAUAGCCCAAGGAAAAAAAAAAUACACCUUAUUUACACAUUAGUUUGAUAGCAAGCAAUAGUUUGACUGUCAAACAAUAAAACAAUCUGUCACAGAUCUAUUUCUCAGUAUUUGAAAAGACAUGAAAGGCUAAGUACUGUGAAAAUAACUAAUUUCUCCUCAUCUUGAAUCACAAUUUUGACUCAUAUGGUCAAAAAUCAUAGGUUAAUUUAUGCUAAUACUGUUUAAAAAGUUUUAUGGUUUCACAUAUGAGAGCAGUUCUUGUGACUCAAACACAAUGCUAGUGCAAAACAAAUUCACAUGUCAAUGGGAGGUCCCAUUCUGAACCAGAGAUGCAACCGUUUUCAAUAUUCAGAAGAUGGUGCUAUUUGUUUAUGUAUGCAUGCAUUGCAUGAACCCGUCUGCUUGCCUUCACACCAAUCUGAACAUUCAAUGUGCUACUGCUCCAAAAAUUGCAUUUGCAAAAUUCAGAAAUAUCACAGAAGGAAGACCUACAGAAUAAUGCCUAGUCUAUGCAUUUGUGCACAGCAUAAUACAGACGGGGGGAAAAAUAGCUUUCCUUGUGUAUAAUACAGAUUCUUUAUAUCUUAAAUAAGAUGCUUUAAAUGUAUAGACAAGAGAAUUGAUGAACAGUCAGCCGUCUAAAGCCAUUUUAUACAACACUGAUUAGUUUGCAUUUACUCCAAAUUCAAAUUGACUCUGAUUAGACAGUCUUGGCCCUCCCUGUUAGUAGUCAUACACUUGAAGGUCAUGUUAAGUAUAUAGCAUAAUAAUGUAAUUAUGCAAAUUCAGCCCUGAAAGAUCUGACAUGCUAUAUGCAAUUAAAGCCCAAGAUGUGCACCCACGAAAUAGCCACGCAUUUUGAUCCUGGCUUGAAGGGCAUCCUGGUUUAAUCGUCUGGCAAGAAUGCAGAAGUGGAAAAUUUGAUGAUGCCAGUUGUUAAGUGGAUCUUCUUACUCAACACAUUCAUGCCACUUUAGAUGCAACAUAUUAUGCUAGUUACACUGCUGUGGCUGUUUAAGAUCAGUGCUGAAUUUGUGAAGCAACAUUAUCUGGCAGGUCACAAAGCACUCUCGGGUGUUUAGUGGUGAUAUGAAACAAAUAAAGGAUUUUUGAGUAAUUCUUCAUGAUGCCAUUGUAAAUUAUGGAUAAACUUUACGAAUUGACAUUGUGCAGUGGGUCAGAUUUGCAGAAUUUUGUGACCCUCUUAUAUUUUUAAAAGAUUUAUUUAAGGCAUUGUUCACACCAAAAAUAAAGAUUUACUCACCCUUAGGCCAGUUUGAACAGAUUUGGAAAAAUCCAUCACCAGUGGAUCCUCUGCAGUUAAUGGGUGCCAUCAGAAUUGAGUGUCCAAACACCUGGUGAAAACAUUUCCAGUGAAGCAAAAAGUUGUGUGUUUGUAAUUAACAAAUAUAGCAUUAAGAUAUUUUUAGCUUUAAAAUGUUACUUCAAAAUAUGUGUCAUUUACCCAUAAUAUUCCUUUCUCCAGUGGGAAAUUUGUAUUAUCAGGAGAGAAAUAUGCACAGGUCAAGGACUGUUUACAAGUGAAAACAGCUCAAAACAGUUCUAAACAAAUAUGUUGAUGGAUUUUAAUGUGAGAGGACAACAGGGUAUGAGCUUUUUCACUGGAUUUCAUCUUAGAUGACCCGAGAGUCCACCUCGCAUUCCGGGCCCCCUCGUCGAGCCCUUGAAAUCGCCCUAACCUUUGGAUUUGAAUACUGUAUGUGGAAUUAUCGCAAUAUGAAAGUAUAUUUAAAAACUUUAAUUUUAGGUGGGAUUAACUGCGAUUCAGAAAAAAAGUGUGAUUAAUUAGCUUUUUAGCAAUUUACAGGACAUAUUAUUUGGAAUCGUUCUGGUUAUAAAACAUCAGUGGCUCAUGUCCAUUGUUAAUGUGAUGGUGUCCAAAAUGGUCUAAACAAGCAUCAUUUCAAGAAAGUCAAGAAAGUUUCUCAUGAAGGUUUCUCACAGAAUUCCAAGGCUCAUGAUGUCAAAUAAGCUUUAGAGAUAACUAAUCAAAUACGGCUUUUUUUUCUCAGUAGAAAUAGAAUCAUAAAAGAAAAAUGUGAAAAAUGCACUUUUAUAAAUAAAUCAACUCCUUUCAACUGUUCUAUCAGACAAUAUUUCUAUCCUGUCCUAGACAGUGAUACAUCUAUGCAGCUUUCAAAAAUUUACCAGACAGAGUCAUCUUAGUAGACGAGAUGUUUCACUGGCAUUGGAUUCGGAUUCUUCCCUUCUUACCUCAAUUUUUCAGCUUUGUGAACUGAGGUGAACCGAUGUCAUACAUCCACGAAAAUGACCUUCCACUACAGCUGUCAAAAGUAAUAACACAAAAAAGAUAAGAAAAGUUAAUUUUGAGACGAGCUCUAGCAUCGUUUUUUGGCAGAUGCUGAAAAUUUUAAGCUACAAAAGAAUCCAAAUACUUAUUUAAUGCAACAUAUUUCUAGUACAUAAGAAGAUUUAUCUUUAAUGAUUGAUUGAGCUAUUCCACACAUCUUUUGAGGAAACACACUGUAAAUGCUGACCUAUCUGCACAUAUUUGUAUCUUUAAUGUCUAUUUUUUAUCAGAUGCCAAAGUUCACAAUUUCCCAGCUGGC